GGCUGAGUAGGCGGCGAGUUGUAGCCUCGUGCACGGGCAUAAGGCCCCCCAACCAA
Molecule: transfer RNA, 56 nt
Filed under: Cyrtodactylus cf. ziegleri
Lineage: Eukaryota; Metazoa; Chordata; Lepidosauria; Squamata; Gekkonidae
Description: partial tRNA-Tyr
Source: RNAcentral